GCUCCAAUAGCGUAUAUUAAAGUUGUUGCAGUUAAAAAGCUCGUAGUUGGAUUUCUGGGGGGGAGUUCUUCGAUCGCCGUCGGUGAUUAGAGGCUCCUCCAUCCUUCUGUUAACGUCUCUCGGCAUUCAUUUGCUGGUGGCGGGCUCAGAUAUUACCUUGAGAAAAUUAGAGUGUUUCAGGCAGCUAGGCCGGAAUACAU
RNAcentral lists this ribosomal RNA (200 nucleotides) under uncultured eukaryote. RNAcentral describes it as "partial 18S ribosomal RNA". It matches the Rfam family "Eukaryotic small subunit ribosomal RNA", at positions 588 to 804 of the family's 1831-position model. The record is from RNAcentral.